GCCUCGGUGGCGCAAUCGAUUAGCGCGUUCAAAUUUUUAACCGAAAGUUUGAAGGUUUGAGUCCUUCCCGGGGCG
Molecule: non-coding RNA, 75 nt
Organism: Ditylenchus destructor
Lineage: Eukaryota; Metazoa; Nematoda; Chromadorea; Rhabditida; Anguinidae
Source: the annotation of a GenBank genome assembly